RNAcentral lists this ribosomal RNA (253 nucleotides) under uncultured bacterium. RNAcentral's name for it is "partial 16S ribosomal RNA". It matches the Rfam family "Bacterial small subunit ribosomal RNA", at positions 524 to 776 of the family's 1533-position model. The record is from RNAcentral.
UACGGAGGGUGCGAGCGUUAAUCGGAAUUACUGGGCGUAAAGCGUGCGCAGGCGGUUUGGUAAGACAGAUGUGAAAUUCCCGGGCAUAACCUGGGAACUGCAUUUGUGACUGGCAGGCUAGAGGGCGGCAGAGGGGAGUGGAAUUACCCGUGUAGCAGUGAAAUGCGUAGAUAUGCGGAGGAACACCGAUGGCGAAGGCAACUACCUGGGCGUGCACUGACGCUCAUGCACGAAAGCGUGGGGAGCAAACAGG